CUGGUACUGACUCGCACUCCCAUCAGACCGGUGCCAAGAUGCGUGACAACGCGGCCACGGACAACAGCCGAUCGACUGUCAGGAAACAACAAUGUUAACGAUCCAAUAGCUGUCUCCGUUCUAUCGUGUCAAACUAAGUGAUUCCAGAACAUACUGACCGGGCAGCACGGAUAAAACAGAGCCGAGUUAAAAUGAUGUGAUUAAAGGCGAAACUAGACGGAGAGAUAGAGAAGAAGAAGAAGAAAUAGAAGAUGGAGAAGAGAAUAGAAAAUAGAGAGAAGGAAGGAAAUAUAUGAGUAGAGAAAUAAUUUGGUUAAUCCUACUGAGUUUUUUUAGAUUAUUUUUUACCCAAAUCUAUGUUUCUAAAGUUUAAAUAUACAUCAAAAAAGUAAAUUUUAUUAUUCGAUAAAUAUCUUUUAUUAAAGCAUUUUCGUUUCUUGAGAAGAAAGUAAAGAUUGAAAUAUAAGAAUUAGAAGGAUAGUAGUAUAAGAAUAAGAGGAACACAGCGGGGUUAAUCUAGGAUAAUAGAAGAAACAAGGUGACUUUCCGUUACUAUUUUAUGUCAAACCUCUUCAAACAUUGAAAGUUUUUUUUUGUUCAAGCAAAUAAAAAUUCGAGGAUCUUAGUAAGGGUAAGUUGGGGUAAUAGGGGAUGGAAUAGAGAUCUUGUAUAUAGAGAGACCACAUGAAAAGAGUUCUCGAAAUGUCCCGAAAUGUUUUGAAAUAUCUUCGAAAGAAAGUUAGGCAGAAAUCUUUAGGAAUCAGUUCCAGAAAUGCGGCUGGGAAAACACGGUUCUAAAUAUAAUGACUCGCAAAAGUACUCGAACGCUUGUAGAUACCUUUUAUGAAUACGUUAUGUGUGUUAUACGAAACAUAAAGAACAUUCACUAAUUUCUUUGUCUUAAUUUUAUGUAAUAUUUUUAGGCAUUAGAUAACAAUUAUAAUUUUACUAUAUAUACUAUAUAAACAUUAUAUAAUAAAUGUCCGUCAAUUCUGUCUGCGUUAAACUAUCAAAAUGUUUUACAUAACACACACAACACACACAUAAAAAGAUUUCCAUGGUAAAUAUUCAAAUACUUUCAUGAACUACUAUAGAUUUUUAAUUACUCUUUUAAUAAAUGAUCAUAGGCGUAAAGCUCGAGGCUCGUAGAUGGUGUCACACAUUCACGCAAGCUCCACUCGGACGGACACGUGAAAUAGAAAUAGAAAGAAAGAAAGAAAGAACAAUGUAUAUGGAGAAGACCGUCGAUCGUUCGUUGUAUCAUCGAUCGAUUUCAUAUUGAAUGAUUAAGAGAGCAGCGAAUAUAGUCGAAGAAGAAAGUAUAGAAUGAGAGUGUAGAGUGAAGAGAACUGGGGGUUCAGUGCAGGGCACACGCUCGCGCACACGUACGUACAAACAUAUGUAUAAAACUUUUGGGAUGUGAUUUCACACGGGUCACAACAACGCAGAGAAUAUAUCAUAUCUAUGUAUACGUCUUCGUGUUUUUGUAUAACGAAAAAAUAUAUAUAUAGAUAGAUAAAGAUAGGUAGAAGAGGAUGCAUGUGUCUUGUCAUAGAUCGAGACAGCUAAAGGUUACUUUUUAUAAUUAACACAUUCACUGCUUUAUAUUGAACGUGAGAUGCGUUUUCUGUUGGAAAUAUUUUUAUUUUAAAUAAUAAUUUAUAUCUGUUUAACACACAUUUGUUUUCUCAAUAUUUUAUUAAAACAUACAGAAUAAACAUAUAAAACACGAAGAAUAAUACGAAGAUCACAGGGGGAAAAAUAUGAUAAGUAUAUUUUUAUUGAUUUCCUGCUUUUAACUUCGCUUUAUGAUCAAAUGGAAGAACUUUUAUAUGACAUAAUUGAAAAUGAGAACAAGCUGUCAGAUCCAGAGAUGCAAGAAGGUAAUGGGCAAGCAAUAUUUUAGUCUCUUCAAUAUCGUAAUACAAUGACGAGCAUUAUUUUGAAGAUCUGUAAGGGGAUGAGAAAACACUUGUUUAACUCCACAACCAAAUAUAUAGACAAUUUUAGUAACAUAAGAUUUAUUCACAACGUACUGAAUCGUAAAGCUCCUGUGUAAAAAGUAGGAAAUGUGACUUAUUACGUUCUUUCCCUGUAGUCUUCGUAUUAUUGUUAGAUAAUCGAAAGGACGCAGCAUGUGCGUCAGUAGCAGUAGAUGUUAUUAGUCAGUCAUCUGAAUCUCCUUAAAUCCUCGAUAAACUCUAGCCGUCUCGCAAGACACGCGUUCUUCUCAGACGUAUACGUCAUUAGUAAAAGACAUUACGUAUCAUAUAUAUAUAAUAUCGUGGCUACCGAGUUUCACUGUAUUUGUUCCAAGUGUCUAAUCGAACACACGUAAGAAAAAAGAAAGGAAUUGCACGUAACAUCAAAGUUGGGACGGACCAACGGGACGGACACGUUCAAGUAUUAUAAUUUAGAAUGAUUCUCGAAAGUAACGAGACGCGUUGGACAAAGGAGAAUCGUAAUACGUGAUCGUGCUGAACAAACUCACCUCUCGUUGAAGGUUUCUUGACGCGCGUAAUUUUGAAGACUGCCUUCGUCGAUUAAAAAUUUCAUCCUCUCGAAGAAGGAAGCGGUGAUGGCCGGCGGCUGCUUUCGCAGAAGUAUAUCGAUCGGCUUCGGUGCUGACACGCAAAGUUGGCUGCUACGACAUAUAUGAUUCGAGCAACAUUCCGGAUCCGCGCAAUCGAUGAGACCGUCUGGAAAAGUAUAGUAAUGGGUUCUUUAUAUCGGAGACUAAUGGCUCUAAAUGGCUGGCAUAAGCCACACCCAUGAUUUAGAGCUCGAAGUAAUAUGAAAAUGAAACGCGAAAACACGAAGUUCUGUUCAAGAAGCACGUUGCAGUCCUUGCCAUCCCAGCCAUCGUAACACCUGCAUUCCCACUGACCAUCGUUGCCGACUCUACACUGUCCGUGUCCAGAGCAGGAAUUCGGGCAACCUUCCAUGGUGCAGUGUUUUCCAUUCCAACCAGUCACGCACAAACAGGUCCCGUUUUUACAUUGGCCGUGUUCGUUGCAUCGUGGAUCGCAUUGCUUUAGAUUACACAAUUCGCCGGACCAUCCGGGCAAACAG
Molecule: long non-coding RNA, 3072 nt
Organism: Bombus pascuorum
Lineage: Eukaryota; Metazoa; Arthropoda; Insecta; Hymenoptera; Apidae
Exons: 5
Source: RefSeq, a predicted model, not a curated record